RNAcentral lists this ribosomal RNA (406 nucleotides) under uncultured bacterium. RNAcentral describes it as "partial 16S ribosomal RNA". It matches the Rfam family "Bacterial small subunit ribosomal RNA", at positions 29 to 526 of the family's 1533-position model. The record is from RNAcentral.
AUUGAACGCUGGCGGCAGGCUUAACACAUGCAAGUCGAGCGAGCGGCGGACGGGUGAGUAAUGUCUGGGCAACUGCCUGAUGGAGGGGGAUAACUACUGGAAACGGUAGCCAAUACCGCAUACCAUCAGUUGUGCCCAUAUGGGAUUAGCUAGUAGGUGGGGUAAUGGCUCACCUGGGAUACGAUCCCUAGCUGGUCUGAGAGGAGAACCAGCCCAACGGGAACUGAAACAGGGCCAGGACUCCUACGGAGGGCAGACGUGGGAAAAAUUGCACAAUGGGCGAACGCCUAAUGAGGCCAGGCCGGGGGUGUGAAAAGGGCCUUCGGGUGGUAAGCCACUUUCAGCGAGGAGACGUUACUCGAAGAAGAAGCGACGGCUAACUACGUGCCAGCAGCCGCGGUAAUAC